Labeo rohita (rohu) is the source of this 331-nucleotide long non-coding RNA. RefSeq lists it as uncharacterized. The transcript is spliced from 4 exons. The record is from RefSeq and is a predicted model, not a curated record. Lineage: Eukaryota; Metazoa; Chordata; Actinopteri; Cypriniformes; Cyprinidae.
CGUUUUUCGAGACAGCGCCACCUUUCAAAUUGGAUCGGAUAAACACAUGGAUAAACACGUGAAGAACCGAAACACGGCCAUCAUUCAUGGCCUAUGUGAGCUGCAGGCAUUAUCCUGGCAGGAGGCUGAGGAGGUGUUCCUUCGUGGCCCUACUUAUCACCCUAGUGAAGUUGAGGAAUUUGACCGGGUGAUUGCAAAAAGAAUGAGAAAAGAAGCAACAUUUGCCUCCCAGAAACAAGAUGACAGUGAUUAAGGUGAUCGUUAAAUAAAGUACAGAAUUGUUCAUUAUUGGUGUUUUGUCUAUUAUUUGAGUUUUGCUUCACAUUCAAAA